AGGGCACCACCAGGAGUGGAGCCUGCGGCUUAAUUUGACUCAACACGGGAAAUCUCACCAGGCCCGGACACCGGAAGGAUUGACAGAUUGAGAGCUCUUUCUUGAUUCGGUGGGUGGUGGUGCAUGGCCGUUCUUAGUUGGUGGAGCGAUUUGUCUGGUUAAUUCCGAUAACGAACGAGACUCUGGCCUACUAACUAGAUGGAGGAUCCCUUCGUGGGUUCUUCACUGCUUCUUAGAGGGACGGGCGGCGUUUAGCCGCACGAGAUUGAGCAAUAACAGGUCUGUGAUGCCCUUAGAUGUUCUGGGCUGCACGCGCGCUACACUGAAGGAAUCAGCGUGUCCUCCCCGCUCUGAAAAGAGUGGGUAACCCGUUGAAACUCCUUCGUGAUGGGGAUUGGAGAUUGUAAUUAUUCUCCAUGAACGAGGAAUUCCCAGUAGGCGCGAGUCAUCAGCUUGCGUCGAUUACGUCCCUGCCCUUUGUACACACCGCCCGUCGCUACUACCGAUCGAGUGAUUUUA
This 519-nucleotide ribosomal RNA is filed under the name uncultured eukaryote. RNAcentral's name for it is "SSU rRNA". It matches the Rfam family "Eukaryotic small subunit ribosomal RNA", at positions 1161 to 1701 of the family's 1831-position model. The record is from RNAcentral.